Molecule: ribosomal RNA, 511 nt
Filed under: Mycolicibacterium sp.
Lineage: Bacteria; Bacillati; Actinomycetota; Actinomycetes; Mycobacteriales; Mycobacteriaceae
Description: bacterial SSU rRNA
Rfam family: Bacterial small subunit ribosomal RNA
Source: RNAcentral
UUUUGCGGUGUGGGAUGGACCCGCGGCCUAUCAGCUUGUUGGAGGGGUGAUGGCCAACCAAGACGACGACGAGUAGCCGACCUGAGAGGGUGUCCGGCCACACUGGGACUGAGAUACGGCCCAGACUCCUACGGGAGGCAGCAGUGGGGAAUAUUGCACAAUGGGCGCAAGCCUGAUGCAGCGACGCCGCGUGGGGGAUGACGACCUUCGGGUUGUAAACCUCUUUCAGCAGGGACGAAGGGUGACUGACGGUACCUGUAGAAGAAGCACCGGCCAACUACGUGCCAGCAACCGCGGUAAUACGUAGGGUGCGAGCGUUGUCCGGAAUUACUGGGCGUAAAGAGCUCGUAGGUGGUUUGUCGCGUUGUUCGUGAAAACUCACAGCUUAACUGUGGGCGUGCGGGCGAUACGGGCAGACUGGAGUACUGCAGGGGAGACUGGAAUUCCUGGUGUAGCGGUGGAAUACGCAGAUAUCAGGAGGAACACCGGUGGCGAAGGCGGGUCUCUGGGC